AUACGGAGGGUGCGAGCGUUAAGCGGAAUUACUGGGCGUAAAGCGUACGUAGGCGGUUGGAUAAGUUAGAUGUGAAAGCCCCGGGCUUAACCUGGGAACUGCAUUUAAAACUGGCGAACUAGAGUUGAGUAGAGGGGAGUGGAAUUUCAGGUGUAGCGGUGAAAUGCGUAGAGAUCUGAAGGAACACCAGUGGCGAAGGCGACUCCCUGGACUCGAACUGACGCUGAGGUACGAAAGAGUGGGUAGCAAACGGGAUUAGAUACCCUAGUAGUCC
Molecule: ribosomal RNA, 274 nt
Filed under: uncultured bacterium
Lineage: Bacteria
Description: partial 16S ribosomal RNA
Rfam family: Bacterial small subunit ribosomal RNA
Source: RNAcentral